GGGGUUGUGGCUCAAGUGGUAGCGCGCUUGCCUGGCAUGCGUGAGGCACUGGGUUCGAUUCUCAGCACCACCU
This is a non-coding RNA of Ictidomys tridecemlineatus (thirteen-lined ground squirrel), 73 nucleotides long. The record is from Rfam. Lineage: Eukaryota; Metazoa; Chordata; Mammalia; Rodentia; Sciuridae.